This 1757-nucleotide ribosomal RNA is filed under the name coral metagenome. RNAcentral describes it as "bacterial LSU rRNA". It matches the Rfam family "Bacterial large subunit ribosomal RNA", at positions 144 to 1977 of the family's 2925-position model. The record is from RNAcentral.
UCGGAUAUCUGUUGCUGAAUACAUAGGCAGCAGAGGCGAACGAGGGGAACUGAAACAUCUAAGUACCCUUAGGAAGAGAAAUCAAUUGAGAUUCCCCAAGUAGUGGCGAGCGAACGGGGAAGAGCCUAAACCCUAUUUGUGUUAAAGCGUACGGGCCUUGCUUAUAGGGUGUCGUGGGAUGCGAUUUGAGAUAUCCGUAUAUAUCUCGGGGAGUUACAAAGCUAUUUGUUAGUAGAACAGUCUGGAAAGUCUGGCCAUAGACGGUGAUAGCCCGGUAUACGAAAAGGCGCUAGCUGUGAGCAUGAGUAGGGCGGGACACGAGAAAUCCUGUUUGAAAAUGGGGGGACCAUCCUCCAAGGCUAAAUACUCCCUACUGACCGAUAGUGAACCAGUACCGUGAGGGAAAGGCGAAAAGAACCCCGGAGAGGGGAGUGAAAUAGACCCUGAAACCGUGUGCGUACAAGCAGUGGGAGCCCUUCGGGGUGACUGCGUACCUUUUGUAUAAUGGGUCAGCGACUUACUUUCAGUAGCAAGCUUAACCGUCUAGGGUAGGCGAAGGGAAACCGAGUCUUAAUAGGGCGAACAGUUGCUGGGAGUAGACCCAAAACCGGGUGAUCUAGCCAUGGGCAGGUUGAAGGUGCGGUAACACGCACUGGAGGACCGAACCCACUUAUGUUGAAAAAUGAGGGGAUGAGCUGUGGAUAGGAGUGAAAGGCUAAUCAAGCCCGGAGAUAGCUGGUUCUCCUCGAAAGCUAUUUAGGUAGCGCCUCGUGUAUUGCCCUAGGGGGUAGAGCACUGUUAUGGCUAGGGGGUCAUCCCGACUUACCAACCCAUUGCAAACUCCGAAUACCUGGAAGUGCAAUCGCGGGAGACACACGGCGGGUGCUAACGUCCGUCGUGGAGAGGGAAACAACCCAGACCGCCAGCUAAGGUCCCCAAAUUCAUGCUAAGUGGGAAAGGAUGUGGGAAGGCACAGACAGCCAGGAGGUUGGCUUAGAAGCAGCCAUCCUUUAAAGAAAGCGUAAUAGCUCACUGGUCUAAAUAAGCCGUCCUGCGCCGAAGAUGUACCGGGGCUAAAGUGAUACACCGAAGCUGUGGGUUUCAAUCGUAAGAUUGAAGCGGUAGCGGAGCGUUCUGUAGGCCGAUGAAGGCAUACCCGUGAGGGGUGCUGGAGGUAUCAGAAGUGAGAAUGCUGACAUGAGUAGCGAUAAAGAGUGUGAGAGACACUCUCGCCGAAAGUCCAAGGGUUCCUGCGUAAAGCUAAUCUGCGCAGGGUUAGCCGGCCCCUAAGGCGAGGGCGAAAGCCGUAGUCGAUGGGAACGAGGUUAAUAUUCCUCGACCAGUGGGUGGUGACGAAUGCUGUGAGUUGUAUCUCCUUAUUGGAUUGGAGGUGCAGCGAAGGUGUUCCAGGAAAUAGCCCCCACAUCAGACCGUACCCUAAACCGACACAGGUGGACUGGUAGAGCAUACCAAGGCGCUUGAGAGAACGAUGUUGAAGGAACUCGGCAAAAUACCUCCGUAAGUUCGCGAGAAGGAGGCCCGGUUCCUAGGCAACUAGGGGCUGGGGGCACAAACCAGGGGGUGGCGACUGUUUAUUAAAAACACAGGGCUCUGCGAAGUCGCAAGACGACGUAUAGGGUCUGACGCCUGCCCGGUGCCGGAAGGUUAAAAGGAGAGGUGAGAGCCUUGAAUUGAAGCCCCGGUAAACGGCGGCCGUAACUAUAACGGUCCUAAGGUAGCGAAAUUCCUUGUCGGGU